This 191-nucleotide microRNA precursor is filed under the name Oryza brachyantha (malo sina). RNAcentral describes it as "MIR812 microRNA precursor family". The stretch from base 32 to 170 matches the Rfam family "MIR812 microRNA precursor family", at positions 33 to 173 of the family's 205-position model. Lineage: Eukaryota; Viridiplantae; Streptophyta; Magnoliopsida; Poales; Poaceae. The record is from Rfam by way of RNAcentral.
AAAAAACGAAUUUCUGUGUUUUUAUAAAAUUUUUGACUCUUCAUCUUAUUUAAAAUUUUCUAUGAUUAAUAUUUUUAUAGUUACUACAUUAUAAAACAUAAAUAGUACUUUACAUACAACUAUUUUUUUUAAUUUCUUAAUAAAAUUUUCAAAUAAGACGGAUGGUCAAACGCUCGAUAUACAAAAACCAG